This 254-nucleotide ribosomal RNA is filed under the name uncultured bacterium. Its description in RNAcentral is "partial 16S ribosomal RNA". It matches the Rfam family "Bacterial small subunit ribosomal RNA", at positions 524 to 776 of the family's 1533-position model. The record is from RNAcentral.
UACGUAGGGCGCAAGCGUUAUCCGGAAUUAUUGGGCGUAAAGAGCUUGUAGGCGGUUUGUCGCGUCUGCCGUGAAAAUCCGGGGCUCAACCCCGGACUUGCGGUGGGUACGGGCAGACUAGAGUGUGGUAGGGGGAGACUGGAAUUCCUGGUGUAGCGGUGAAAUGCGCAGAUAUCAGGAGGAACACCGAUGGCGAAGGCAGGUCUCUGGGCCAUUACUGACACUGAGAAGCGAAAGCAUGGGGAGCAAACAGG